RNAcentral lists this non-coding RNA (31 nucleotides) under Homo sapiens (human). Lineage: Eukaryota; Metazoa; Chordata; Mammalia; Primates; Hominidae. The record is from RNAcentral.
UUCCAAUGAAUACCAGAACACCAUUUCCUGC